GAAUAAAACGUGAAGGAUAACGUUGCGUCAGCAACGGCCCGUAGGGCGAGGCGAAGCCGAGUCAUCCUGCACGACCCACCG
RNAcentral lists this small RNA (81 nucleotides) under Salmonella enterica subsp. enterica serovar Poona. Its description in RNAcentral is "partial RtT sRNA". It matches the Rfam family "RtT RNA", at positions 45 to 130 of the family's 130-position model. From Rfam's summary of the family: This family represents a bacterial cis-regulatory element known as RtT RNA. The record is from RNAcentral. Lineage: Bacteria; Pseudomonadati; Pseudomonadota; Gammaproteobacteria; Enterobacterales; Enterobacteriaceae.